GAUGAACGCUGGCGGCGUGCCUAAUACAUGCAAGUCGAGCGAACAGACGAGGAGCUUGCUCCUCUGACGUUAGCGGCGGACGGGUGAGUAACACGUGGAUAACCUACCUAUAAGACUGGGAUAACUUCGGGAAACCGGAGCUAAUACCGGAUAAUAUAUUGAACCGCAUGGUUCAAUAGUGAAAGACGGUUUUGCUGUCACUUAUAGAUGGAUCCGCGCCGCAUUAGCUAGUUGGUAAGGUAACGGCUUACCAAGGCAACGAUGCGUAGCCGACCUGAGAGGGUGAUCGGCCACACUGGAACUGAGACACGGUCCAGACUCCUACGGGAGGCAGCAGUAGGGAAUCUUCCGCAAUGGGCGAAAGCCUGACGGAGCAACGCCGCGUGAGUGAUGAAGGUCUUCGGAUCGUAAAACUCUGUUAUUAGGGAAGAACAAAUGUGUAAGUAACGAUGCACGUCUUGACGGGACCUAAUCAGAAAGCCACGGCUAACUACGU
RNAcentral lists this ribosomal RNA (496 nucleotides) under uncultured bacterium. Its description in RNAcentral is "partial 16S ribosomal RNA". It matches the Rfam family "Bacterial small subunit ribosomal RNA", at positions 28 to 506 of the family's 1533-position model. The record is from RNAcentral.